GUCUCAAAAAAACAAAAACAAACAAACAGAGAAGGAGCUGGAUAUGUUGAACUGGCUGAGUCACAGCUUUAAUCAUCAGAGGAGUGCAGUGACACUAAGGACAGUGUAUGGUCCAUUGCUGGAUUUGGAUAUUCUGUGGAACCUAAGCAGAGAGAGAAUUAGUGGUAGGACCUGCAAGAGCUGUCCUGCUGAAAACUAUAAAUAUCAGAAAGUAUGGCUUUAGCAAGAAUUACUGAAAUGGGAGGGGAGAAUUCAACUUCCAUUUGCCAUAAACCAAGCAGCUAUAGCAUCGUGGAAAGCCAGGGUGCUGGUGGUGAUACGGCAGGGUCCCAGCUCUGGGCGAAGCAUGUACUGUGCCCCGCAGGAGGGAGCUUGUUCAUCAGCAUACAGUAGACAUGCCCUGGGACUCCGAGAAGUGCUGAGGACCUCACACAUGAGACACUGCUGUUACUGUGACCCCAGCUCUACCCAUAGGUGGAUCUAAAGAAGGUAGGGUCACAGGAGGACUCAGAGGACUUGCUGCUUCCAUCUGGUGAUGAAUUCUUCUGCCAAAUAAAGCCUAGAGUACCAUGAAGGGUCAGAAGUAUUACAUUGUUCAUUACAAUUAUUUUGCUCAAACAAUUUGUUAAUUCUGUUAUCCUAUUUGUUUGUAGGUGUAGUUCAAUUAAGUGCCAGCCUGCCUUGUAUAUAAUUCUUGGUGUACGCUUGUGUUUUUGAUCAAGAAAAUUGAGCUAUAGUCACUUUCACUUUCUUCUGUUGCUGGGCUGACUAUAUUCUGGAGACCUGAAAUGUCCCUCCAAGGGACAUUUAAUGAAGGUCUCAUUGCCUACUGACCUAUGGGCAUCAGGGAACUGGGCUGAGUUACAGUUAAGGAUGGUGUAUGGCUCUGUCUGCUCUUAACAGCCAUUGACCAAAUUGUACAGCCCCUUUAUUAGAAGUUCUUGAAACCCUAUGUGCACAGCAAGUUUUUCCCUCUCUCUGGUGGACCCUAAACUUCUUUAUUUUUAACAGUGAAUGCGACUGUGUGCCUCUUGGGGGACUUCUCCUGAUGCACAGCCAAAAUGUAAUGUUUUGUUCACUCCUUCCUCUGAGAAGAGGACUGGAUCAGCCUAUGAAUACUAGAAAACAUGCAUUUGAUUUCUGCUUUCAAUCAUUUUUUGAGAUUUAUUGUUCCUGGUUGUGUACCAUUAGACAGAAGUGAUGGGAUCAAUAAAACUUGGAAUUGUCUAACAAGAAAGGGCCAGUUUCUUGCUUAUUAUAUUUGUAAUAACAGAGUCCAUUGGGUAGCACUCCGGUCUGUGAAAGUCAGUGAAUCAAUAAUGCUCUUGUGGUCUGGAUAAUAAUAUACCUUGGCAUGGUGUGAGUGAUGCCAGCAGGUGGGCGGAGAGGCAGGGAAGGAAAGGUCUCAUGCCUUUCAGGUUGACACUAAGAAAGAGGCUUCCAUUCCUUUCCCUGUUCUACCACAUUCUCCUAAUGUGUAUAAGAAAUUAUUCAAAGACAGCAACAGAUUUCCCUCCUGACCUUUAUAGUUGCUGGUUUGGAAUGAUUUUUGGCUGCUUGCUGGAAAAAAAAAUUAUUGCAGAGAUGAAUUGUCAGGACAUCCGCUCCCCUUCCCAUCAGCUUUAUAAACAUUUUGUACUGGAGGCAGUGUGUGUGUGCAGAAGAAACGCUAUGGAAAGUGCUGUAGAAACAAGUGUGGUUUGUUGGCUACCAAAUCUCAAGGCUAUGCUCACUGGUCAGAAUGGUUGGUGUCCAGACCCCCAGCCCCUCAGAUUCUGAGAUGUCUGUGUACCAGGGUAGCACCAGGGAUGGGUUUUCUCUGAGACUGUCUUUUCAUGAUACAGUGUAAAAUGUUUCCCAUGAAAGGGCAGAGCUGAAGAAGCAGUGCAAGUCCAUUUGAAGACCUCUGGAAGGAAACCCCCAGCGGCUCUUUUUUCACUGAACAAGCAUUGUGGGAAUUUGGGGCUCGGCUGUGUAAUUUGUCCUCUUCUCAUUCAUUCAGGUACUAGGAGAGCAGGGCAGUAUGGAAAGGUGCUACUUCAAGGGAAAGGCUUUGAGGUUAUUGCAAAUGGUGGGGGACUGGGGUGGAGUGGGCUACAGGUACAGUGACCAGAAGAUGCUGAAUUCCAAACUGUUUCCUAAAGCCUUUCUUCUGGACUCGACAGUUUUCAAAUCUAAAGAACAUAUUGUGUUGUUUGCAAAGGAAAUAUUGUAAUGGCUUCUUAGUUCAUCCAGGAAAAGAGUCUGUCACUAAUGGGCAUUUUGUAAAAUGAAAUCCUUCUAGGGAGAAGGAUAACUGGUCAGAUUUGAAGGUUAAAAAAAAAGGUCUUGACACUGAUCUCGGUUUGCAGAGAAACAAGAAAUUCUGUCUGACUUCUUUUCAGUGGGAGCUAAAAUUUUAACCACCCCGAUUGCACUCACUUAUAUGAAAACGUUAAUGUUAAACAAAUAGGCAGGGAUUUCUUUUAUUAUUAUUUAUAGAGGAGAAUUUUGCCAUCAGGAAACAUGUUGGCUAAUCUGCUUUGGCCAAAUUCUCCUUAGAGACAGUGAUUAAUAGAAGGAAUGAGUGGAAGAUUAGUAUACGCACAAGGCUAUUCAGGAGUGGGGGUAAAAUGUUAAUGCGGUGACCUUUAAAUCUUCAUUUUUCUUUAUUUCCCUGAAUGCUAAUUAAAGGACAUGUUCAGCACCAGGAGGAAUUUGCAUCCAAGUCCGUCUCCCUGCUAAGUGGUAUUUUGAGAAUUCCGAAGCUUAGUCUCAGAGAAGAGCUGACCUGAACUUGCCGAGGCUCCCACUGCAUUGUAGCUUUUCUCUGGAGAACAAAAACUGCCAUUGUCCAGCAGCUCAUUAGCAUGACUGUACAGCCUCCGGAGUUAGCAAGGUGAUGCAAAAAUAAUAUGACAAGAUCCAUGUCUUCAAUGAGCUACAAUCCUACUGGGACAUGAGACUGUGCUUAUAAUAUGAUGAAAGAAUAAGAAAAUUUUAAAGCUAUAACAGGCAGAGCACAAGAACAAGCAGAGCUAUAACAAGCAGAGCACAAGAAGGAAGAGUGCAGAUCCAGGACUGGGACACUUAACCAAUAAUAAUACAAAUAAUGAAAACACAGCAGCAACAGGUGCCAUUUUGGAAGCAAGAAGCAGAGAACAAGCUCUCACUGGGCAUUAAAUCUGCCGGCAUCUUGAUCUUGAACUUCUCAACCUCCAGAACUCUGAGAAAUAAAUUUCUAUUAUUUACAAA
Molecule: long non-coding RNA, 3234 nt
Organism: Homo sapiens (human)
Lineage: Eukaryota; Metazoa; Chordata; Mammalia; Primates; Hominidae
Source: Ensembl